GACAGAGGAUGCAGGCGUUAUCCGGAAUGAUUGGGCGUAAAGAGCUCGUAGGCGGCUGCUCAAGUCGAAUGUGAAAACUCGAGGCUCAACCUCGAGCCUGCAUUCGAUACUGGGCGGCUAGAGUCUGGUAGGGGGAUCUGGAAUUCCUGGUGUAGCGGUGGAAUGCGCAGAUAUCAGGAGGAACACCGGUGGCGAAGGCGGUGGUCUGGGCCGGCACUGACGCUGAGGAGCGAAAGCGUGGGGAGCGAACAGG
This 253-nucleotide ribosomal RNA is filed under the name uncultured bacterium. Its description in RNAcentral is "partial 16S ribosomal RNA". It matches the Rfam family "Bacterial small subunit ribosomal RNA", at positions 524 to 776 of the family's 1533-position model. The record is from RNAcentral.